GCACACAUAUCUCACAACAAUGACUAAAGUUGACUAUAAAAUACAAAUUAGUAAAAUUAUGCUAAAAAUUGAAGUAAUUAAGUUUAAUAUAACUUUGUAAAAUGUUCUGUUUUCUUAUAAAUGGGCCACAAAAGGCAAUAGUGACAUUUUCAAAUAAAUUUGAUAUAUUUGUUUGUAGUGAGCUGACAGCUCAAAGAUAACUCCA
Molecule: unclassified non-coding RNA, 205 nt
Filed under: Hevea brasiliensis (rubber tree)
Lineage: Eukaryota; Viridiplantae; Streptophyta; Magnoliopsida; Malpighiales; Euphorbiaceae
Source: RNAcentral